AGAGUUUGAUCCUGGCUCAGAACGAACGUUGGCGGCGUGCUUAACACAUGCAAGUCGAACGAGAACGUCCCGGCUUGCCGGGAUUAGUAAGGUGGCGCACGGGUGAGUAACACGUGAGUAAUUUCCCUCUAAGCUUGGGAUAACACUGCGAAAGCGGUGCUAAUACCGAAUAAGACCACGGUAUCACACGAUACAGUGGGAAAAGGUGGCCUCUGUAUAUACUAUCACUUGGAGAUAAGCUCGCGGACCAUUAGCUUGUUGGUAGGGUAACGGCCUACCAAGGCUGAGAUGGUUAGCUGGUCUGAGAGGAUGAUCAGCCACACUGGAACUGAGACACGGUCCAGACUCCUACGGGAGGCAGCAGUGGGGAAUAUUGCGCAAUGGGGGAAACCCUGACGCAGUGACGCCGUGUGAGUGUGAAGGUUUCGGAUCGAAAGUCUGUCAGUGGGAAGAUAAAGGAGGGAAAUAUUCUGCUGUGCGGACCUCAAGGAACACGGUACUCCUGCACACCCGUAUACGAGGUGAACGUGUCGAUUAUGGGAAGGUGAGGGUUGAGCAAGGACCUUGUCACCAGAUGUUAACCGACUGGUAAAGGAGGAUUCAUGAAGGAUCUAUUGAAACCGGCAGGU
This 629-nucleotide ribosomal RNA is filed under the name uncultured bacterium. RNAcentral describes it as "bacterial SSU rRNA". It matches the Rfam family "Bacterial small subunit ribosomal RNA", at positions 8 to 676 of the family's 1533-position model. The record is from RNAcentral.